ACCCCAGUAGUCAAAGCAGAAAAUGAUGAAUGUCAUAGAUUAGAUAAACAAUUUAUUCUAUAAAUGAAAGUGUAAGCAUUCCACCUCAAGAGUAAUUUGGCAACAUUGGAACGGAAAUCAUUAGACCGUUUCUGAAACCAGUAGUGAAGUAUGUUGUUUAAUUUGAUGAUACGCAAAAAACCUUACCACAAUUUGAAUAUUUAUAUAUUUCUUUAUUGGUUUUUACUAAUAUAUUUGUAAAUAAUCAAAAUGAUGCUUAUACCCCGUUUGUGAAACUAAGCAUCAAAAAAGAUAAUAUAUUUACAAGCGUUGCACGGCUGUCUUCAGUUAAUGUCGUGAGAUUUUGGUUAGUUCCAUUAAAUUAACGUAAACCCUUACUUUAUUUUUAUAUAAAGUAGUUCUCCGCUAUAUUGGAUAUGAUAACAGGGACUAAGACAAG
RNAcentral lists this ribosomal RNA (439 nucleotides) under Cladonia confusa. RNAcentral's name for it is "SSU rRNA". It matches the Rfam family "Bacterial small subunit ribosomal RNA", at positions 784 to 1189 of the family's 1533-position model. The record is from RNAcentral. Lineage: Eukaryota; Fungi; Ascomycota; Lecanoromycetes; Lecanorales; Cladoniaceae.